This is a long non-coding RNA of Scylla paramamosain (green mud crab), 1628 nucleotides long. RefSeq lists it as uncharacterized. Lineage: Eukaryota; Metazoa; Arthropoda; Malacostraca; Decapoda; Portunidae. The record is from RefSeq and is a predicted model, not a curated record. The transcript is spliced from 2 exons.
UUACAGCUACAACAGACUUUACUCUUGCUAUGAAGGACUUCCACACAAAGUUCACCAGGAGAAGGACCCUUCGGGCCAUCAGCGAAAGGCAGCGAGUGACCCUGGACGUCAUACAGAGGUUCGAGAGCAGCUGCUGGAUAUGACGGAGCAGAAAUGCCACGUGUACCUCGGUGGGAUCCAGACCAUGCACUACAGAACAUUCCAAGACAAGAUGGGACUUCCAGGAAUGCUGGGCACUGUAGUAGGGGAUGUGAAACCCUUCUGUGGGAGCCGGAAGAUAGGACUUCCAGUAAUGCUGAACACUGUAGUAGGGGAUGUGAAACACUUCUGUGGGAGGUAGGAGGGAUGUGUGGCAGUGUUUGGGAGGCAGGAGGGAUGUGUGACAGUGUUUGGGAGGCAGGAGGGAUGUGUGACAGUGUUUGGGAGGCAGGAGGGAUGUGUGACAAUGUUUAGAAUGUGCAGGCUGGGUGUUGAAAGCUAUGGGUUGGAGAAUUUGACCUCUACUGAAGUGUAAGGGUGUUGGAACUUGUUAGGGAAAGGAUGGGAAGAGAAUAAGAGAAUAAGAGCAGGCAAGGAUGGAGUGAUGGAGUCUGUGACGGAAGGGAUAAGAGGUGAAUGAGAGAAUUUGAACAAGUAAGGAUGGAAACAAAUGAAGGAUGGAGUGAUGGAGUGCGUGAGGGAGAGGAUAGGAAGGGAAUAAGAAGACUUAAACAUGCAAGGAUGGAAAUAAAUGAAGGAUGGAGUAUGUGAAGGAGACAAGAUGAGAGAAAGAAAAUUAGAACAUUCAAGGUGGAAACAGAUAGAGGAUGGAGUGAUGGAGUGUGUGAGGAAGAGGAAGAGGACAAGGGAAGAAUCAGAGGGUUGGAGCAUGGAUGGAGGAAAUACAAGGACAGGAGUAAACAGAUGGAUAAAUAAAUAGGGAAAGUAAAGGAGGCUUGGAAAAUAUGAAACUGUUGAAGAAAUGUAGAAGAGCUGGAAAGUACUUGAUAGAAUAAUGACAUUACAAAAAGUAAAUAGUGACGUGACAGAUCUAGUGAUAUAAAAGAAGUUGAAAAUGAAUGAAAAUAUUGAUGAUGCUAUUGUUAAUGAUGUCUUGAUUGUAAUGCAGCACAAUCUGCCACCAGGAAAGCCUUCAGGUUGUUGAGAAAUGACCCAAGAAUCUUCAGGGAGACUGCAUCAAACAGUAUGCUCAACGCUAACACCUAUACAUAUGUGAGUAGUAGUAGUAGUAGUAAUAGUAGUAGUAGUAGUAGUAGUAGUAGUAGUAGUAGUAGUAGUAGUAGUAGUAGUAGUAGUAGUAGUAGUUGUAGUAGUAGUAGUAGUAGUAGUAGUAGUAGUAGUAGUAGUAGUGGUGGUAGUAGUAGUAGCUGCUGUUGCUGCUGCUGCUGCUGUUGUUGUUUACUGACAAAAACACACGUAAUACAAAAAGUUACAAUCUCAUUUUUUGUCCAACUUGAAUAGAAAUAAAAAUAGUCUUGUAGAUGUGUAAUAGGCAUAACACACACACACACACACACACACACACACACACACACACACACACACACACACACACACACACACACACACACACACACACACACACACACACACACACACACACACACACACACACACACACACACACA